GUGUCAGCCGCCGCGGUAAGACGAACUGUCCUAACGUUGUUCGGAAUCACUGGGCUUAAAGGGCGCGUAGGCGGUCCGACAAGUCAGGGGUGAAAUCCUGCAGCUUAACUGCAGAAGUGCCUCUGAUACUGUCGGUCUGGAGGGAGAUAGGGGUGUGCGGAACUUCCAGUGGAGCGGUGAAAUGCGUUGAUAUUGGAAGGAACGCCGGAGGCGAAAGCGGCGCACUGGAUCUCUUCUGACGCUGAGGCGCGAAAGCUAGGGGAGCAAACGGGAUUAGAAACCCCUGUAGUCC
RNAcentral lists this ribosomal RNA (292 nucleotides) under uncultured bacterium. RNAcentral's name for it is "partial 16S ribosomal RNA". It matches the Rfam family "Bacterial small subunit ribosomal RNA", at positions 505 to 796 of the family's 1533-position model. The record is from RNAcentral.